Tachysurus fulvidraco (yellow catfish) is the source of this 343-nucleotide long non-coding RNA. RefSeq lists it as uncharacterized. Lineage: Eukaryota; Metazoa; Chordata; Actinopteri; Siluriformes; Bagridae. The record is from RefSeq and is a predicted model, not a curated record. The transcript has 3 exons.
AGGGGGCGCUUUCCCAACCCCCUGCUGACUCUCCCACAAAUAAAUAAGCAUUUACAAGACCAAAAAGAACAUCUAGGAACAGUCUGAAGUCUGGGACACAUCGACAUCAGCAGACGCUGGGCUUCAUCCCCUGGUGAUGCUCUGCCAGGCCUCUACUGCAACUGUCUCCAGUUCCUGCUUGUUCUUGGGGCAUUUUCCCUUCAGAUUCAGGUAUUAUUGUGGAAGUGUGUAAUUACCCAGUCUUGGCAAAGUUGGUCCAAUACGUCAUGACGACUGCACUCAGCAUGAUGUCAUUGCGUGAAAAAUUGCAAGGGAAAAGCUCGGUGGGUCCGACGAGCGGAAU